CUCUCUCUCUCUCUCUCUCUCUCUCUCUCUCUCUCUCUCUCUCUCUCUCUCUCUCUCUCUCUCUCUCUCUCUCUCUCUCUCUCUCUCUCUCUCUCUCUCUCUCUCUCUCUCUCUCUCUCUCUCUCUCUCUCUCUCUCUCUCUCUCUCUCUCUCUCUCUCUCUCCUAGGUGUGUUGGUGGUGAAGCUGGCAGCAGGUGUGUUGCAUGAUAAUUAGCAGAUGAGCUGCAGGUGGGAGCUGAGUAACUAGUCCUUGGGUGUCUCCAUAAAAGCAGACCGCACCUGUCAUUCAAAGCUGGACCGUUGUCUAUUCUCCAGUCAGUACGUGAAGUUGACUCCUACCUGCUGGUUCUGGGAUCUUCUAGCCUGCUGGUCCUCCCCUCUGCCUUGGAUUCUGUUCUGACGGAGGAUUCCACCUCUCGCCAGCUUCGUCCUGGGAAACACAGGCUUCAUCUGGACGGAACACUCUGGGAGAAAUGCCUACCUUCUAUGAACUCUUGGACGCCUACAACCUUCCACGUGUUGAGUUCCUGAAAAGGGAGAGAGCUGAGAGAAGCCAGGCCAAGGACUGAAUUCCUACUUGUCAAGUUUCCAAGCCCUGGUAUAACAUUUGGUACGUUGAAGUUUACAAUCUGCGUUCUGUACUUAAUAUUAUUUAUUUUAUAUUCUGCAUAAAAUAAUUUUUAGUCUGGGGAUUUCUGUUCAGGAUUAGUUAGAGUCUAGGCUGGUUAGGGUUUUUGUAUUUUCAGUUGUUCUCCUGCCUUGGUUAUACUAUACGUGGGUUAACAUAGUUUAAGUUCUCAUCCUUGUGUAGUUAUCCUCCGUACCACUAGAUGGUUUCUGGUUUUCUUGGUUUAGUUUAGUUCCUGAGUUGGAGUUCUAUUUCAGGUUCUUGUAUUUAUCAUCUUGUUGUAAAUAAAGCAUUGCUAAAAUGUC
This is a long non-coding RNA of Amphiprion ocellaris (clown anemonefish), 933 nucleotides long. RefSeq lists it as uncharacterized. The transcript is spliced from 2 exons. Lineage: Eukaryota; Metazoa; Chordata; Actinopteri; Pomacentridae. The record is from RefSeq and is a predicted model, not a curated record.